AUUGAACGCUGGCGGCAGGCCUAACACAUGCAAGUCGAGCGGCAGCGGGAAGUAGCUUGCUACUUUGCCGGCGAGCGGCGGACGGGUGAGUAAUGCCUGGGGAUCUGCCCAAUCGAGGGGGAUAACUACUGGAAACGGUAGCUAAUACCGCAUACGCCCCACGGGGGAAAGCAGGGGACCUUUUGGUCUUGCGCGAUUGGAUGAACCCGGGUGGGAUUAGCUUGUUGGUGAGGUAACGGCUCACCAAGGCGACGAUCCCUAGCUGGUCUGAGAGGAUGAUCAGCCACACUGGAACUGAGACACGGUCCAGACUCCUACGGGAGGCAGCAGUGGGGAAUAUUGCACAAUGGGGGAAACCCUGAUGCAGCCAUGCCGCGUGUGUGAAGAAGGCCUUCGGGUUGUAAAGCACUUUCAGCGAGGAGGAAGGGGAGUGAGCUAAUACCUUACUUCAUUGACGUUACUCGCAGAAGAAGCACCGGCUAACUCCGUGCCAGCCGCCGCAGUAA
This 506-nucleotide ribosomal RNA is filed under the name uncultured bacterium. Its description in RNAcentral is "partial 16S ribosomal RNA". It matches the Rfam family "Bacterial small subunit ribosomal RNA", at positions 30 to 523 of the family's 1533-position model. The record is from RNAcentral.